This 468-nucleotide ribosomal RNA is filed under the name uncultured bacterium. RNAcentral's name for it is "partial 16S ribosomal RNA". It matches the Rfam family "Bacterial small subunit ribosomal RNA", at positions 28 to 507 of the family's 1533-position model. The record is from RNAcentral.
GACGAACGCUGGCGGCGUGCUUAACACAUGCAAGUCGAACGGAAAGGCCCUGCUUUUGUGGGGUGCUCGAGUGGCGAACGGGUGAGUAACACGUGAGUAACCUGCCCUUGACUUUGGGAUAACUUCAGGAAACUGGGGCUAAUACCGGAUAGGAGCUCCUGCUGCAUGGUGGGGGUUGGAAAGUUUCGGCGGUUGGGGAUGGACUCGCGGCUUAUCAGCUUGUUGGUGGGGUAGUGGCUUACCAAGGCUUUGACGGGUAGCCGGCCUGAGAGGGUGACCGGCCACAUUGGGACUGAGAUACGGCCCAGACUCCAACAGGAGACAGCAGGGGGAAAUAUUGCACAAUGGGCGGAAGCCUGAGACAGCAACGCCGCGUUCGGGAUGACGUCCUGCUGGUUGUAAACCGCUUUCGCCUGUGACGAAGCGUGAGUGACGGUAAUGGAUAAAGAAGCACCGGCUAACUACGUG